CAACCUGCCCUGUACUGUGGAAUAAUCAUUGGAAACGAUGACUAAUACCGCAUGUGGUCCUCGGAAGGCAUCUUCUGAGGAAGAAAGGAUUUAUUCGGUACAGGAUGGGCCCGCAUCUGAUUAGCUAGUUGGUGAGAUAACAGCCCACCAAGGCGACGAUCAGUAGCCGACCUGAGAGGGUGAUCGGCCACAUUGGGACUGAGACACGGCCCAA
RNAcentral lists this ribosomal RNA (214 nucleotides) under uncultured bacterium. RNAcentral describes it as "partial 16S ribosomal RNA". It matches the Rfam family "Bacterial small subunit ribosomal RNA", at positions 122 to 334 of the family's 1533-position model. The record is from RNAcentral.